GGGGCCUACGGGAGGCAGCAGUGGGGAAUUUUGGACAAUGGGGGCAACCCUGAUCCAGCAAUGCCGCGUGAGUGAAGAAGGCCUUCGGGUUGUAAAGCUCUUUUGUCAGGGAAGAAACGGUGGGGGCUAAUAUCCUCUGCUAAUGACGGUACCUGAAGAAUAAGCACCGGCUAACUACGUGCCAGCAGCCGCGGUAAUACGUAGGGUGCAAGCGUUAAUCGGAAUUACUGGGCGUAAAGCGUGCGCAGGCGGUUGUGCAAGACAGAUGUGAAAUCCCCGGGCUCAACCUGGGAAUUGCAUUUGUGACUGCACGGCUAGAGUGUGUCAGAGGGGGGUAGAAUUCCACGUGUAGCAGUGAAAUGCGUAGAUAUGUGGAGGAAUACCGAUGGCGAAGGCAGCCCCCUGGGAUAACACUGACGCUCAUGCACGAAAGCGUGGGGAGCAAACAGGAUUAGAUACCCUGGUAGUCCACGCCCUAAACGAUGU
Molecule: ribosomal RNA, 486 nt
Filed under: uncultured Oxalobacteraceae bacterium
Lineage: Bacteria; Pseudomonadati; Pseudomonadota; Betaproteobacteria; Burkholderiales; Oxalobacteraceae
Description: bacterial SSU rRNA
Rfam family: Bacterial small subunit ribosomal RNA
Source: RNAcentral